This 253-nucleotide ribosomal RNA is filed under the name uncultured bacterium. RNAcentral's name for it is "partial 16S ribosomal RNA". It matches the Rfam family "Bacterial small subunit ribosomal RNA", at positions 524 to 776 of the family's 1533-position model. The record is from RNAcentral.
UACGGGGGGGGCAAGCGUUGUUCGGAAUUACUGGGCGUAAAGGGCGCGUAGGCGGCCUGCUAAGUCGGAUGUGAAAUCCCUCGGCUCAACCGAGGAACUGCAUCCGAUACUGGCGGGCUUGAAUCCGGGAGAGGGAUGUGGAAUUCCAGGUGUAGCGGUGAAGUGCGUAGAUAUCUGGAGGAACACCGGUGGCGAAGGCGGCAUCCUGGACCGGUAUUGACGCUGAGGCGCGAAAGCUAGGGGAGCAAACGGG